UACGGAGGGAGCUAGCGUUGUUCGGAAUUACUGGGCGUAAAGCGCACGUAGGCGGCUAUUCAAGUCGGGGGGUGAAAGCCCGGGGGCUCAACCCCGGAACUGCCCCUCGAAACUAGAUAGCUAGAAUCUUGGAGAGGCGAGUGGAAUUCCGAGUGUAGAGGUGAAAUUCGUAGAUAUUCGGAAGAACACCAGUGGCGAAGGCGACUCGCUGGACAAGUAUUGACGCUGAGGUGCGAAAGCGUGGGGAGCAAACAGG
Molecule: ribosomal RNA, 256 nt
Filed under: uncultured bacterium
Lineage: Bacteria
Description: partial 16S ribosomal RNA
Rfam family: Bacterial small subunit ribosomal RNA
Source: RNAcentral